GACUCGAUAUGGCUGAACUCGAGAAACUAAUGCUCGAAGAUGAAGAAGAAGAAGGCAACAAUGAUGGCUAGUGGUAUUAAAUAGCGUGAUUUUUCACAUGGAUGCUGACGUGGACUGGCCAUGUGGCAUUUUUUGUCCACAUAGAGUGCUUGGUGUCAUUCCGUUAGAGAGAAGGACAUUUUUGAGCCAAAAAUUUAACAGAG
RNAcentral lists this long non-coding RNA (203 nucleotides) under Capsicum annuum. Its description in RNAcentral is "long non-coding RNA (CANN_LNC013911)". The record is from RNAcentral. Lineage: Eukaryota; Viridiplantae; Streptophyta; Magnoliopsida; Solanales; Solanaceae.